This 73-nucleotide transfer RNA is filed under the name Camelus bactrianus (Bactrian camel). It matches the Rfam family "tRNA". Rfam says of the family: Transfer RNA (tRNA) molecules are approximately 80 nucleotides in length. Lineage: Eukaryota; Metazoa; Chordata; Mammalia; Artiodactyla; Camelidae. The record is from Rfam by way of RNAcentral. RNAcentral also lists the same sequence under 2 other names.
GGGGGUGUAGCUCAAGUGGUAGAGCACAUGCUUAGCAGGUUCGAGGUCCUAGGUUCAAUCCCCAGCACCUCCU